This 721-nucleotide long non-coding RNA is filed under the name Homo sapiens (human). Its description in RNAcentral is "HSALNT0179827". The record is from RNAcentral. Lineage: Eukaryota; Metazoa; Chordata; Mammalia; Primates; Hominidae.
GGACUAGAGACUCCGAGUGUUCAGAAGGAAGGAGCUGUUUCUUGUUGCUGAGAGGUUGAGUAAGAUAAAGAUGGAGAAGAAGCCACUGGAAAUGGCAUCAUGAUUGGUGAUCUCUACCACAGCAGAUUGGGGUGUGGGGGCUGGGCACGCUGGAUUGAAAGCCAUCAGAAUGGGCUGAGGAAUGCAUGGGGUGAGGUAGUACAGGCACCAAGUGUGAAUACCUCUAUGUUCUGCUAUCAAAGGAAGAGAGAAACUGUGUCGGAGGGGGUUAUAGAGUUAAAUAAGACAGCACAUUGCUUUCUGUUUUUAAUGGCGGACAUUGCUGAUGGUUUCAUAGAAAGAUGCAGGAGGAAAAAUGGAUACCCAAGGGAAUGAAGUCUUGAGAAAGCAAGAAGCAAUGAGACCCAAAGUCAAAUGAAGAGACUGUCCUGCUAGGAGCAGGGACACGUGUAUUGUAAUAGGAAGAAAUAUGUGUGUAAGUGAAGGCAGAGUUGAUUUUCUCAAGAGUGAGGCUGAGAACAAGGAGUGUAGUUAUGUUUGAGGAAACAAUGUUUGAGAAGUCAUAUUAUUUGUGGAGAUACACUAUUUUGUUUCAUUUCCUCUAACAAGUGUCAUUGGCAUAGUCAUAGCCCCUAAAUAUCUAAAAAUUAAUUCCACUUUAACCACCUCCCCUAGUUCAGUGAUAGAUAAUUUUAAGUGAAAAUAACCAUGCAAAUAGCCA